RNAcentral lists this ribosomal RNA (710 nucleotides) under uncultured bacterium. RNAcentral describes it as "bacterial SSU rRNA". It matches the Rfam family "Bacterial small subunit ribosomal RNA", at positions 54 to 751 of the family's 1533-position model. The record is from RNAcentral.
CAUGCAAGUCGAGGGGCAGCAUGGUCUUAGCUUGCUAAGGCUGAUGGCGACCGGCGCACGGGUAAGUAACACGUAUCCAACCUGCCGUCUACUCUUGGCCAGCCUUCUGAAAGGAAGAUUAAUCCAGGAUGGGAUCAUGAGUUCACAUGUCCGCAUGAUUAAAGGUAUUUUCCGGUAGACGAUGGGGAUGCGUUCCAUUAGAUAGUAGGCGGGGUAACGGCCCACCUAGUCAACGAUGGAUAGGGGUUCUGAGAGGAAGGUCCCCCACAUUGGAACUGAGACACGGUCCAAACUCCUACGGGAGGCAGCAGUGAGGAAUAUUGGUCAAUGGGCGAUGGCCUGAACCAGCCAAGUAGCGUGAAGGAUGACUGCCCUAUGGGUUGUAAACUUCUUUUAUAAAGGAAUAAAGUCGGGUAUGCAUACCCGUUUGCAUGUACUUUAUGAAUAAGGAUCGGCUAACUCCGUGCCAGCAGCCGCGGUAAUACGGAGGAUCCGAGCGUUAUCCGGAUUUAUUGGGUUUAAAGGGAGCGUAGAUGGAUGUUUAAGUCAGUUGUGAAAGUUUGCGGCUCAACCGUAAAAUUGCAGUUGAUACUGGAUGUCUUGAGUGCAGUUGAGGCAGGCGGAAUUCGUGGUGUAGCGGUGAAAUGCUUAGAUAUCACGAAGAACUCCGAUUGCGAAGGCAGCCUGCUAAGCUGCAACUGACAUUGAGG